GGUUCUAUAGUGUAGUGGUUAUCACACAGGAUUCUGAUAUCUCAAGUUUCCUGUAACCCUGGUUUGAUUCCAGGUAGGACCU
Transfer RNA from Fomitiporia mediterranea MF3/22, 82 nucleotides. It matches the Rfam family "tRNA". Rfam says of the family: Transfer RNA (tRNA) molecules are approximately 80 nucleotides in length. Their secondary structure includes four short double-helical elements and three loops (D, anti-codon, and T loops). Lineage: Eukaryota; Fungi; Basidiomycota; Agaricomycetes; Hymenochaetales; Hymenochaetaceae. The record is from Rfam.